This 440-nucleotide ribosomal RNA is filed under the name uncultured Pseudomonas sp. Its description in RNAcentral is "bacterial SSU rRNA". It matches the Rfam family "Bacterial small subunit ribosomal RNA", at positions 358 to 790 of the family's 1533-position model. The record is from RNAcentral. Lineage: Bacteria; Pseudomonadati; Pseudomonadota; Gammaproteobacteria; Pseudomonadales; Pseudomonadaceae.
GGAAUAUUGGACAAUGGGCGAAAGCCUGAUCCAACCAUGCCGCGUGUGUGAAGAAGGUCUUCGGAUUGUAAAGCACUUUAAGUUGGGAGGAAGGGUAGUAACUUAAUACGUUGCUACUUUGACGUUACCGACAGAAUAAGCACCGGCUAACUUCGUGCCAGCAGCCGCGGUAAUACGAAGGGUGCAAGCGUUAAUCGGAAUUACUGGGCGUAAAGCGCGCGUAGGUGGUUCAGUAAGUUGAAUGUGAAAUCCCCGGGCUCAACCUGGGAACUGCAUCCAAAACUGCUGAGCUAGAGUACGGUAGAGGGUAGUGGAAUUUCCUGUGUAGCGGUGAAAUGCGUAGAUAUAGGAAGGAACACCAGUGGCGAAGGCGACUACCUGGACUGGUACUGACACUGAGGUGCGAAAGCGUGGGGAGCAAACAGGAUUAGAUACCCUUG